Non-coding RNA from Triticum aestivum (bread wheat), 115 nucleotides. NCBI's taxonomy places the organism in Eukaryota, Viridiplantae, Streptophyta, Magnoliopsida, Poales, Poaceae. The record is from Rfam.
CUACUACUCCCUCCGUUCCGAAUUACUUGUCGUAGGUAUGGAUGUAUCUAGAUGUAUUUUAAUUCUAGAUACAUCCAUUUUUGUGAUGAGUAAUUUGGAACGGAGGGAGUAGCUU